GGCCCAAUGGUCUAGAAGUAUGAUACUCCCUUCGGGUUCGACACCCGCUUAUGAUGUAUAUAAGCUGUGCUGGGAGUGGUCCCGGGUUCAAUUCCCGGUUGAGCCC
Molecule: non-coding RNA, 106 nt
Organism: Mycena filopes
Lineage: Eukaryota; Fungi; Basidiomycota; Agaricomycetes; Agaricales; Mycenaceae
Source: the annotation of a GenBank genome assembly